AUGGGCACCUCCGCCACGGCCCCAUCGGUUUUCCCACUGGCCCCCAGCUGCGGGACCACAUCUGGCUCCACAGUGGCCCUGGCCUGCCUGGUGUCCAGCUACUUCCCCGAGCCUGUGACUGUGUCCUGGAACUCCGGCUCCUUGACCAGUGGUGUGCACACCUUCCCGUCCGUCCUGCAGUCCUCAGGGCUCUACUCUCUCAGCAGCAUGGUGACAGUGCCCUCCAGCAGGUGGCCCAGUGACACCUUCACCUGCACUGUGGCCCACCCGGCCAGUAAGACCAAGGUGGACAAGAAAGUGCCCAAAGAAUGUGCCUGCAAAUGUCCAGGCUGUUGUUUGCAGGAAGGACCUUUGGUCUUCAUCUUCCCCCCCAAACCCAAGGACACCCUCUCCAUUACCCGAACCCCCGAGGUCACAUGCGUGGUGGUGGACCUGGAAGAACCUGAGGUCCAGAUCAGCUGGUUCGUGGAUGACCAGGAGGUGCACACAGCCAAGACGAAGGUGCCUGAGGAGCAGUUCAACAGCACCUACCGUGUGGUCAGUGUCCUCCCCAUCGUGCACCAGGACUGGCUCAAGGGGAAGGAGUUCAAGUGCAAGGUCAACAGCAAAGCCCUCCCAUCCCCCAUCCAGAGGACCAUCUCCAAGGCCAGAGGUGUGCAGCAGGGUGCGGGGUGCAGGGGUUAG
Non-coding RNA from Mirounga angustirostris (Northern elephant seal), 684 nucleotides. The record is from the annotation of a RefSeq genome assembly. NCBI's taxonomy places the organism in Eukaryota, Metazoa, Chordata, Mammalia, Carnivora, Phocidae.